CACUACAGCUUCAUCACCUCUUUCUUUCCUCGAGCCGUCCAGCCAGUGAAAAAGCCUGUCUUCGCUUAGGAGACCCCUCAGACAAGGUCAAUCCAGUUGAAGUUGAUUCUUUUUGCCAGGCUAGUUGCCUUCUUUGGUAGGCCUGUUGAAGAAAAAAGUGAUUAGAUAAUAAUUUUUCGUGCCAGGAGCAGCCGAACAAGUGCCAUCAAGUUACAAGUUUUUUAGGAUAUUUUUCUUUUUGUAAUCUCCUUAUUAUAUAAUAGAAGUGCUAUAUCCUUAAAAUUAUGCUGUCCCCAUGGUAUAACCCCCUGGCAGGACGUGGGCCUCUUUCCCGCUCCUUUUUUUUUUUAAUUGCUCUUUUCUAAUAAGCAACUGCUAAGUGCUUUGCUGUCGGUGCAGCCGAGCCAAUUAGAGUGGCUUUCGAAAAUGUCAGUCUAGUCAAGUUUCCUUACCUGGUGGGGUAAAGCAUGGGAUUCUUCUCAACAGAGCUGAUUCAAUCGGGUACUUUUUCCUUAACUAUUUCCCGCCUUCUUGAGCCAUUUUGAGUGCUUCUCGCAGCUGAGAGGUCUAAGCCCCACCUAUUUACGUGGGGCGGCUAACGAUCAUUCUUUCCCCUGUACUUUACUAAAUAACUGGUGCUCGCGCACCCGCUUUUUCUUGACCUUGCCUUUUAGACCUUGCUUUAGUCCUACUAUCCCUGGCUCUUGAAAUCUUAGACUAUCUUAACUACAAAUACUAAAGGUAAUAAGCAUUCUAUUCUUGACUCUAGAUGAUCUAUUGAGUAAGUCACUCGUUAAGUAAUAAAAAGUAAUAUCACAAGAACCUGUCAUUGUAUUCCCUUUAACUUAUUUUUUGGUACAGCUCGAAGAGACAGAAGAUUAGAGGAGGGCAGAUGAGAUGACACUCAAAGCACUGAUACUCUAAACCCUGGGACUGGUACUUCAAUUGGAUGGGCUAGACCAAGAGAAGAGGGAACUUUCAUUGCAACUUCCAUCGAUCGAGUUUCAGUUGCUUUUUCUGUUGAUCCAGGUGAGAAAGCUUACUUUACUAAGCCAGCCUCUGCUUUUGUCUGUCUCCCAAGGAUAGCUCCUUUGUUUGAGAGCCUUUACACGAGUUCGUUGAUAAGUCGUUUUUUUUCCUCAAAAGACAGUUCCUCGUCUCUGUCGUCGUAUGCUUAACACAUGGUGUUUAGAGGGCCAACUAUAGGGGGUGAGUCCAAAGAAUGUGUGUUAAGCGCAUUUAGCGAUUUAUUC
RNAcentral lists this long non-coding RNA (1253 nucleotides) under Trifolium pratense (red clover). Its description in RNAcentral is "long non-coding RNA (TPRA_LNC006632)". Lineage: Eukaryota; Viridiplantae; Streptophyta; Magnoliopsida; Fabales; Fabaceae. The record is from RNAcentral.